AUGUGGCCUUCCACUCUGAUACUCUGUGUGUUCCUCAUCUGGCCUGUGGCCUCUGAUGUGGUUUUAACUCAGACUCCCAACAUGGUGUCGGCCCGUCUGGGUGGAGACGUCAGCUUCAAGUGCAGUGCCAAGACUAAAGACUCACCGGUGUGUGACAAAGCAGUCAACACUCCCAUUAAAAUGAAGGCACUGGACACACUGACUGCGGUGCUCCUCAUCAACUUCAUACUCGGCUCCAGUGCUCAGAUCACAGUGACUCAGCCUCAGUCAGUAGUGUCUGGCCAGUCUGGAGAGACGGUGACCAUCAAAUGCCAGACCAGCAGCUCUGUUUACAACUCCUAUUAUAAGGUGGACAUUCUAGACUGGGUUCAACAGAAGCCUGCAGCACCUCCUAGGUGUAUCAUCUAUGAUGGUGUUCAUCGAGUGUCUGGGGUGCCAAACCGCUUCAGUGGCAGUGGAGGGAGGACUGAAUUCACACUGACCAUCAACGGAGUCCAGCCUGAAGAUGCCGGUCAUUACUAUUGUGUACAAUUAUAUGCAGCACCACACACAGUGACAGAGAGCUGAACAAAAACCUCUCCUCCAUACCCAUCUGCAGUGCUGUUGUUGCCAAGACAGGCUGUGUUGUCAUCUGUGAUGAGGAGUUACUGAGGGGUGAACAAGAGACUAACUUAAAAAAACAAAGUUUAUGUUCUUGAUACCUUAAACCAGUGGAAUUGGACACCUAUGAUUCACCUCCUCUCAAACAUCCAUUGAUCAGUUCCUUGAGAAAGUUAAGGAAGCCAUAAUGAUGGUGUGUGUGGAGGGGGGAGAC
Polypterus senegalus (gray bichir) is the source of this 814-nucleotide non-coding RNA. Lineage: Eukaryota; Metazoa; Chordata; Cladistia; Polypteriformes; Polypteridae. The record is from the annotation of a RefSeq genome assembly.